Molecule: ribosomal RNA, 253 nt
Filed under: uncultured bacterium
Lineage: Bacteria
Description: partial 16S ribosomal RNA
Rfam family: Bacterial small subunit ribosomal RNA
Source: RNAcentral
UACGUAGGGUGCGAGCGUUGUCCGGAAUUAUUGGGCGUAAAGAGCUCGUAGGCGGUCUGUUGCGUCGGCUGUGAAAACCCGGGGCUCAACUCCGGGCCUGCAGCCGAUACGGGCAGACUGGAGUUCGGCAGGGGAGACUGGAAUUCCUGGUGUAGCGGUGAAAUGCGCAGAUAUCAGGAGGAACACCGGUGGCGAAGGCGGGUCUCUGGGCCGAUACUGACGCUGAGGAGCGAAAGCGUGGGGAGCGAACAGG